Non-coding RNA from Prionailurus viverrinus (fishing cat), 80 nucleotides. Lineage: Eukaryota; Metazoa; Chordata; Mammalia; Carnivora; Felidae. The record is from the annotation of a RefSeq genome assembly.
GCCUGGGUGGCUCAGUCGGUUAAGCGUCUGACUUUGGCUCAUGAUCUCAUGGUCCGUGGGUUCGAGCCCCACGUCAGGCU